CCAUCCUGUUGCAGGGAUAUUUGAAACAUCACACCAUUCAGGAGGAAAGGAGUACUUCGCUGCAUACGCAUCUUGGAGUUUGUUGUCCUUGGCUGGACAUUGCUCAGGCUGUACGCCAUCUUGCUCAACAUGUUCCUCUUCCUCAGCCUUCUGCUUCAGCAUGAACUCAGGAGAGUCUGCUUCAGCAGCACUGCUACAUGGCUGGUGCUCCUCAUUCAGCCUGUAGUUAGCAGAUGACUCUUGUUGUUGGUUGUAACCCCACCUAGCAGGUUCGUCUUGGCUGUCACGAAAUCCAGAGACUUGGGUCUCUUCUGGUGGUGGAAGUGGGCAUCCUUGGUAAGAACCAUUGUCUGCACAAUACCUCAGGAGCCUAUCCCAAUGCCGAUCCUACAGUGAGGCUUGUCAGUUUGCAAAGAAAAGCAAGGAGUGAUUGCAUUAUGUAAGCAAGACAUCAUGAUCAAACUUAAAAAGCCAUAAAUAUGCGGUGCGCAAACACACCUUAGUGAUAAUGUGAGGGUUUCCUAUGAUAAUUAGCAAAGAUUUGGCACGAGUGAUUGCAACAUUGAACCUU
This 571-nucleotide small RNA is filed under the name Oryza sativa Japonica Group (Japanese rice). RNAcentral describes it as "sRNA Os03g0160502". Lineage: Eukaryota; Viridiplantae; Streptophyta; Magnoliopsida; Poales; Poaceae. The record is from RNAcentral.